CAUAAUCAUCUUUCGUUUCCAACCUCCAUAACCACUACCCGAGAAGGAAGUGGGAACAAGACACGCACCAUGUACAUCAGAAGAAUAUACAAACAAAGGGUUGGAAGGGUCUAUAGAACCAGAGUUACUACUAGAACCACCACCAUUCGUGUUAGAAGCCAUGCUUAAAUGAAUUAAAUCGUUCACAAAUAUCACAAAAAAUCAAUAUUCACAGCUCGAACAAUCAGUACUCACAAAUAGAAUCAAACAAUCACACACAACCAAAGAAUCACAACCAAAAGGUAGGAACAAUGUUACCGUCCUUCUUCGCAACCGGAGAAGAUCGGCCUUUAACAACAGAUAAAACCCUAGGUAUGAACCCUAGGAGUAACCGUCAAAGUUUUGCCGGAGAUACCAUCAACGAUGUCGUAGCAGUACCGAUAACACCCAAGACAUCAGCAAAAAUGAGUAUCAAACCACCGGAUGGCAGUCAAACGACCGAUUUGACCACCAGAAACCCUAGAGGUUGAAAACUCACAGAAAAAUCUCUGAAAAUUUCACAACAAUCGAUUGAACCGUUCAAUAAACGAAG
This 571-nucleotide long non-coding RNA is filed under the name Nicotiana benthamiana. RNAcentral's name for it is "long non-coding RNA (NBEN_LNC020208)". Lineage: Eukaryota; Viridiplantae; Streptophyta; Magnoliopsida; Solanales; Solanaceae. The record is from RNAcentral.